GACGAACGCUGGCGGCGUGCCUAAUACAUGCAAGUCGAACGAACCAAAUGAAGAAACUUGUUUCUUUACGAGGUGAGUGGCGCACGGGUGAGUAACACGUGGGAAACCUACCCUUUAGCGGGGGAUAACAUUCGGAAACGAGUGCUAAGACCGCAUAGACAAUGAGAUCGCAUGAUCUUAUUGGGAAAAGAGCUACGGCUUUACUAAAGGAUGGUCCCGCGGUGCAUUAGCUAGUUGGUAAGGUAACGGCUUACCAAGGCGAUGAUGCAUAGCCGACCUGAGAGGGUGAUCGGCCACAUUGGGACUGAGACACGGGCCCAAACUCCUACGGGAGGCAGCAGUAGGGAAUCUUCCGCAAUGGGACGAAAGUCUGACGGAGCAACGCCGCGUGUGUGAAGAAGGUCUUCGGGAUCGUAAAGCACUGUUGUUAGAGAAGAAUGCUUAUCAUAGGGAAU
RNAcentral lists this ribosomal RNA (455 nucleotides) under uncultured bacterium. Its description in RNAcentral is "bacterial SSU rRNA". It matches the Rfam family "Bacterial small subunit ribosomal RNA", at positions 28 to 465 of the family's 1533-position model. The record is from RNAcentral.